RNAcentral lists this ribosomal RNA (491 nucleotides) under uncultured bacterium. RNAcentral's name for it is "bacterial SSU rRNA". It matches the Rfam family "Bacterial small subunit ribosomal RNA", at positions 26 to 507 of the family's 1533-position model. The record is from RNAcentral.
AGGAUGAACGCUAGCGGCAGGCUUAAUACAUGCAAGUCGUGGGGCAGCAGGUUUGUAGCAAUACAGAUGCUGGCGACCGGCGAAACGGGUGCGGAACACGUACAGAACCUUCCUUUGAGCGGGGAAUAGCCCAGAGAAAUUUGGAUUAAUACCCCAUAGUAUAAUGAAGUGGCAUCACUUUAUUAUUAAAGAUUUAUCACUCGAAGAUGGCUGUGCGGCUGAUUAGGUAGUUGGCGGGGUAAAGGCCCACCAAGCCUGCGAUCAGUAACUGGUGUGAGAGCACGACCAGUCACACGGGCACUGAGACACGGGCCCGACUCCUACGGGAGGCAGCAGUAAGGAAUAUUGGUCAAUGGAGGCAACUCUGAACCAGCCAUGCCGCGUGGAGGAUGAAGGUCCUCUGGAUUGUAAACUUCUUUUAUAUGGGACGAAAAAAGGCUUUUCUAAGUCGUCUGACGGUACCAUAUGAAUAAGCACCGGCUAACUCCGUG